GGGGCUCGAGGAGCGCGCGCCUCGCACCCGAGGGCUGCAGAGAGAUAUUUUGGGUGGCAGGAGGCCCCUCGUCAUUUCCGCCGGGCAGCUUGUCGUGCUGGGGCUUCACUCCCGCGCGCGAGGCGAGCGGGCAAGUUGGCUGCAGGCGUGCGGCAGUGGUGGCUUUUUCCCUUAGCUGCGAGACCCUCGGCAGUGCAAGCCAUGAACUGAAGCCCUGAGGGACGGAGACCCCAACGGAGUAGCAGAGCAGCCAGUGCUUCAGCAGAGACCAAGAGGAGCUGAGACCCCGGGGCGUUUCCCUCCCAAUCACUGCUCCAACGGCUGCUGCCCGCCGUGUGCUAAGAGACGUUGCAGCCAAGAGACCCGACACACAAAAGCCGCUUUCUCCGAGCUGCCCGCCCAGCGAGGCAGCGGUCAGCAAGGGACCCCACCUGAGGGCGGCUUGGGCUGCUGAGUUCGUCUUGUGUCUGGGCUGUACACCCCUCGCCGAACCGAUCCAGUGCCCAUGGCUCUGAUCAUGGAACCAGUGAGCAAAUGGUCUCCGAGUCAAGUAGUGGACUGGAUGAAAGGUCUUGAUGACUGUUUGCAGCAGUAUAUUAAGAACUUUGAGAGGGAGAAGAUCAGUGGGGACCAGCUGCUGCGCAUUACACAUCAGGAGCUGGAAGAUCUGGGGGUCAGCCGCAUUGGCCAUCAGGAACUGAUCUUGGAAGCAGUUGACCUUCUGUGUGCACUGAAUUAUGGCUUGGAAACAGAAAAUCUAAAAACCCUUUCUCACAAGUUGAAUGCAUCUGCCAAAAACCUACAAAAUUUUAUAACAGGGAGGAGAAGGAGUGGCCAUUAUGAUGGGAGAACCAGUCGAAAAUUGCCAAAUGAUUUUCUGACUUCAGUUGUGGAUCUGAUUGGAGCAGCUAAGAGUCUUCUUGCCUGGUUGGACAGGUCACCAUUUGCUGCUGUCACAGACUAUUCAGUUACAAGGAAUAAUGUCAUACAGCUCUGCUUGGAAUUGACAACAAUUGUGCAACAGGAUUGUACUGUAUAUGAAACAGAGAAUAAAAUUCUUCAUGUGUGUAAAACCCUUUCUGGAGUCUGUGACCACAUCAUAUCCCUGUCAUCAGAUCCUCUGGUUUCACAGUCAGCCCACCUGGAAGUGAUUCAGCUGGCAAACAUCAAACCAAGUGAAGGGCUGGGUAUGUAUAUUAAAUCAACAUAUGAUGGUCUCCACGUAAUUACUGGAACUACAGAAAAUUCACCUGCAGAUCGGUGCAAAAAAAUCCAUGCUGGUGAUGAAGUGAUUCAAGUUAAUCAUCAGACUGUGGUGGGGUGGCAGUUGAAAAAUUUGGUGAAUGCACUACGAGAGGACCCGAGUGGUGUUAUCUUAACUUUGAAAAAGCGACCUCAGAGCAUGCUUACCUCAGCACCAGCUUUACUGAAAAAUAUGAGAUGGAAGCCCCUUGCUCUGCAGCCUCUUAUACCUAGAAGUCCCACAAGCAGCGUUGCCACGCCUUCCAGCACCAUCAGUACACCCACCAAAAGAGACAGUUCUGCCCUCCAGGAUCUCUACAUUCCCCCUCCUCCUGCAGAACCAUAUAUUCCCAGGGAUGAGAAAGGAAACCUUCCUUGUGAAGACCUCAGAGGACAUAUGGUGGGCAAGCCAGUUCAUAAGGGAUCUGAAUCACCAAAUUCAUUUCUGGAUCAGGAAUAUCGAAAGAGGUUUAAUAUUGUCGAGGAAGAUACUGUCUUGUAUUGCUAUGAAUAUGAAAAAGGAAGAUCAAGUAGUCAAGGAAGACGAGAAAGCACCCCAACUUAUGGCAAGCUACGACCUAUUUCUAUGCCAGUGGAAUAUAAUUGGGUGGGGGACUAUGAAGAUCCAAAUAAGAUGAAGAGAGAUAGUAGAAGAGAAAACUCUCUACUCCGAUACAUGAGCAAUGAAAAAAUUGCUCAAGAAGAAUACAUGUUUCAGAGAAACAGCAAAAAAGACACGGGGAAGAAGUCUAAAAAGAAGGGAGAUAAGAGUAAUAGCCCGACCCACUAUUCAUUGCUACCUAGUUUGCAAAUGGAUACAUUGAGACAAGACAUCAUGGGCACACCUGUGCCAGAGACCACACUGUAUCAUACAUUUCAGCAGUCCUCUCUGCAGCAUAAAUCAAAGAAGAAAAACAAAGGUCCUAUAGCUGGCAAGAGCAAAAGACGAAUUUCUUGCAAAGAUCUUGGCCGUGGUGACUGUGAAGGCUGGCUUUGGAAAAAGAAAGAUGCAAAGAGUUAUUUUUCACAGAAAUGGAAGAAAUAUUGGUUUGUCCUUAAGGAUGCAUCCCUAUAUUGGUAUAUUAAUGAGGAGGAUGAGAAAGCAGAAGGAUUCAUCAGCCUGCCUGAAUUUAAAAUUGAUAGAGCCAGUGAAUGCCGCAAGAAAUAUGCAUUCAAAGCCUGUCAUCCUAAAAUCAAAAGCUUUUAUUUUGCUGCUGAGCAUCUUGAUGAUAUGAACAGAUGGCUUAACAGAAUUAAUAUGCUGACUGCAGGUUACGCAGAAAGAGAGAGGAUUAAGCAAGAACAAGAUUACUGGAGUGAGAGUGACAAGGAAGAAGCAGAUACUCCAUCUACACCCAAACAGGACAGCCCUCCACCACCCUAUGAUACAUACCCACGGCCUCCCUCUAUGAGUUGUGCCAGUCCUUACGUGGAAGCAAAACACAGCCGGCUGUCCUCCACAGAGACCUCUCAGUCUCAGUCUUCUCAUGAGGAGUUUCGUCAGGAAGUGACUGGGAGCAGUGCGGUGUCCCCCAUUCGCAAGACAGCCAGCCAGCGCCGCUCCUGGCAGGAUUUAAUUGAGACGCCCCUGACAAGCUCAGGAUUACACUAUCUUCAGACUCUGCCCCUGGAGGAUUCUGUCUUCUCUGACCCCGCGGCCAUAUCCCCAGAGCACAGGCGGCAGUCCACCCUUCCGACUCAGAAAUGCCACCUACAGGAUCACUAUGGGCCUUAUCCAUUAGCCGAGAGCGACAGGAUGCAAGUGUUAAAUGGAAAUGGGGGCAAGCCUCGAAGUUUUACUCUGCCUCGAGAUAGCGGGUUCAACCACUGCUGUCUGAAUGCGCCGGUUAGUGCCUGUGACCCGCAGGAUGACGUACAGCCCACAGAGGUGGAGGAAGAGGAGGAGGAGGAGGAGGAGGAGGAAGGGGAGGCAGCAGGGGAAAACAUAGGAGACAAAAGUGAAAGCGGGGAAGAAAAGUUAGGAGACUCAUUGCAAGAUUUAUACAGGGCACUGGAGCAAGCCAGUCUGUCACCACUGGGAGAACAUCGCAUUUCAACCAAAAUGGAAUACAAGCUAUCAUUUAUAAAGAGAUGCAAUGAUCCUGUGAUGAAUGAAAAACUACAUAGGCUGAGAAUUCUCAAAAGCACUUUAAAGGCCAGAGAAGGGGAAGUAGCCAUUAUCGACAAAGUCCUAGACAAUCCAGACUUGACAUCUAAAGAAUUCCAACAAUGGAAGCAGAUGUACCUUGAUCUUUUCUUGGAUAUCUGUCAAACCACCACCUCAAAUGACCCAUUAAGUAUUUCUUCUGAAGUAGAUGUAAUCACUUCCUCUCUAACACACACCCAUUCAUACAUUGAAACGCACGUGUAAGUGUAUUCUGCCUUCAGGCCAUCUGGUAUCUUCUGGUACUUUGAACAAGUAUAUAAGGUAGUUUUUAUAUCAAUGUGUGGGACACUUGAUAAGCUAUACUUCAGUGUUACCAAACUAUAUGAAACAAACCAUAUAUGGUCAUAAUACUAUUGUCUUUAAUGAGCAUUUGUAUAUUUUAUAUGCAAUUAAUGCUCAGUUUAUGUUUACCGUGUGCAAAAUCAACUGUCUUCAAUGACUUAAAAUUAACUUUUGCAGACUAUUCUGAAGACAACUGGUCUUCAAGUAGAAAAAACAAAAUGGCAGUUUUCUACCUACGGUCAUCUUUUCUCCCUUUAAGUUAAUUUUAUAUAAACAAGACUUCAAAAGUAAAUCACAUUUUUUCAGGUGCAGACAUCCUUGUGGGUGGGAAAGAAUUUAAACCUUUUUUAUAUUUAUUAAAAUGUUCUAAGAAUUUUCUUAAACAUUGCACAAAGUUUAAUGCUGUAGUUUUAUUUUUGUGAAAUGUAGAUGCGCCUACAAGAGUUAAGCAAAAUAGAAGAGCAUCAACAUAAGAGAAGUCAGGAGGAGGAAGGGACCCUCCUUUACUAUUCUAUAUCCUAAACUCUACUUCUAAUCAGCUUUAUACUGUUGCCUGUACAGCUCAGUGAAUGUACUUUCAUCUCUAAAAGUUCAGACACAUGCCAGUGAACAUUUUUGCUGUCGAGGAGAAAGUAAGAACUCCACAGCGGGGAUCUUUUUCUUUGCUUUUGAAACCACCAUUGAAUCACUAUCGUUUUGCAGACUUUGCACAACUGUACAGGAAAGUGGCCUUUCUACAGCACAUUUUCAGUAAUCCUAUAUUUACUCAAAAUGGAUGAGAAACACGUAUUAAUGUUUGUAUGGAAUUUUGGGUCCAGUGUAAUAUUUUUAUCAUUUAAAAAAACUAUUUGUAAAAACAUUUAUUUACUGCAUGGAUAUUGAUGCACAUUAAAUUUGUGGGAUUUUGUAUAUGUAAAAAAACAAACAAAAAAUCCUCUUGUCCUAAAAUGAAGUGUGCUUGUUAAAGGUAUUUAGACUUGUUGAUGUUUACUAGACCAAAUGUGUACAUUCAUUUAAAAAUAUCUGUAUCUGAUGGAUGUGUCAUGGAUACAGUGGCCAGGUUGUGCCCUGUAAACAGCAAGCAGUUGAUGGGAAGACUAGCUGUGUUGCUACUAAGCAGCUUUUCCUUUUGUAAAGUCUGCUCUGUUGUUUUAAAUGGUAAAAAUUAAACUGAAUUUUAA
Molecule: RNA transcript, 4872 nt
Organism: Phyllostomus hastatus (greater spear-nosed bat)
Lineage: Eukaryota; Metazoa; Chordata; Mammalia; Chiroptera; Phyllostomidae
Gene: CNKSR2
Gene name: connector enhancer of kinase suppressor of Ras 2
Exons: 23
Source: RefSeq, a predicted model, not a curated record